This is a long non-coding RNA of Cicer arietinum (chickpea), 5983 nucleotides long. RefSeq lists it as uncharacterized. Lineage: Eukaryota; Viridiplantae; Streptophyta; Magnoliopsida; Fabales; Fabaceae. The record is from RefSeq and is a predicted model, not a curated record.
UCUUAACAGGAACAACAUAAAAAUACAGUGAACUUCAAUAAAUGUCUUUUAUUUCAAAAAAAAUUACAUUUUUCAAAAAAGAUGCGCGGUGCGGCACCAUCCGGGACUUCUCGGUUACCCUCUGUUGCAAUUCAUUAUAUACAUUGUAUAUUUUCAUUUCUGAGAAAUGAGAAUCAGAUCAUAUUCUCCCGUUAAAACGAAAUGCGGUUUCGGAAAUCGAAUUCAAAACCACUUUGGUGUGGGGUUUAGGGUUUCUUUCUCAGAAGAUCAUCAACUGUUGGACAUUCUCUUCGCAGCUCGGUAUAUCAGAGAUUAUUAAACAUCAACCAUUGAUGGAGAAGAGACUCCAAGUUAAGGGGAUAGGAGGGUCUAGGAGGCUUGGUCAUGGUUGCCAGUCGAACACUUUAGGAUCCUUUAAAGCUAACAGGUUGUACUCCAUUUCUCUCCUCUCUUUUAACAAUAUUUGGCUUCCUUGCUAUCUUUCUGCAUUGUUUUAUAUUUUUCCUCCUUAGUAACGUGAAAGAUAACCCAAAAAUAUAGAGUGGGCCAUAGGCUAUGUCAAAUUUACAAUUAAUUAAUGCAGAUAGUUCGUUUUUAUCUCUUAAAAGUAAAAUAAGAUGAUGGAUGGAGAUGUGUUACUGCAUAUAUACAAUUUAAAGAAAAAACUUGGUAGAAUCCAUGAUAAUAAAUUCUUGAUGAUGGAAGUUAUUCUCUAUCAAGAAGGUGAUGCUUUCUGUAGUUAAAUGAUUACUACUGUCUAUUGUUCUAUCAAGAUAGUGUCUAUUGUCAUUUCAAAAUGGUGGGAAAUUUUUGCCAAGAAACACAGAGGACUUUCGGAUCCUAUUUUUUGCCUCCAUUGUUUUGCAUCAUGUUUUAGUAUAAUUGUUAAAUUCCCUGAUUUAUAUGUAUACUUGUGUUUUACUUUUCAAAUGUUGCUGAAGCAUACUGAUAGAGCUGGUUGGAAAAUACUCCAUCCGCAUCCGUUCCAAAUUAAGUGUCGUGUUAGAUUUUUUCACACAAAUUAAGAAAACUAUAGAUGAUAGAAAGAAUGUUGCAAUUUUAUAAAAUUAUUCUUAUUAACUAUUGGUUAUUAACCAUUAUUAUUAUAAAUAAAUGUAUAGUGGAAUAUAAUGACUUGAAAGUGGUGCAGACAAUAUUAAUAUAAGGUAGAAUUGGAAAAAUACUAAUUAAUGUCACAUUGAAAAAUCAAAACGAUACUCACUUUAGAACAUUUUUUAUAUGCUAAAAUGACACUUAUUUUGGAACAGAAUGAGUAAAUUAGUACAAUGAAUAAACUUCGUUUAUCAUGGAUACAACUUCCUUUAGAAAUUACAAAGAGAAGGAUGAAGAGAUUCGCCCUAGGAAUUCGAGAGCCUGGGCAGUCCUAAGUAACCGACUAGAUCCCAAUUUACCGAAUGCCCUCUUUUCCUUAAUCUUUUUAUUUACUAUUCUAACUUCCUACAACGGUUACAUAGUAGUUACUGCACAUGCAACAUUUACAAAUAACUAAAUAAACUGUCUACCAAUAUAUUAAAUAUUCAACCUACUAAUAUUAUAUAACUUCUGCCCCAAGCCUAAGGAAUCCCGUUCAUAGACUUUCUUUUAUACAGAAUCCCAGUCAUAGACUUUUUUUGACAAGAUCCCGUUCAAUGGCAAGAAACGCAUUAUUACCUUUUUGCAAAUUCUUUAUUAAGAAAUAGUGUAUAAAAAAAUAAGGCUUAAUGAGGUUUUUGGUCCUUCAACUUAUUUUUGAGGUUUAAGUUGGCCCUUUAACUUUAAAGAGUGUCACUUUGAUCUUUUAGCUUUUACUAUGUUAAUUUGUAUUUGUCAUUUCUUUUAGCUCGUACUAUGUUAAUUCGUAUUUGUCAUCUCUUUUAGCUUUUACUAUGUUAAUUCGUAUUUGUCAUUUCUGUCCAAAUUGUUAAACCAACUCACCCUAACUCUAUAUGUGGCUUUGACGUGGAGCUGACAUGGUUAAGCAAACAAUGUAGGUAGAGAACAUAUUGCAAAUUUUAUAGCAGGCAUCAGUAGCAUUGCUGCGUAACAUCCAUUCAUGAUCAUAGACUGGUAGUACCAUUAAAGAUUAACAAAUGAGAGGCUUGUCCAUGGCAUCCUUCAAGUAAACCUUCAUCUUUAAUUUCUUGUCCGCUCAACAAUUUUUUAACCACUAUCAAUGAAUGGGUGGUAAGGUAUAGUGGUUCACCAUGUGAAUCCUCAUUUGAGUCGCACUUCCUUGUAGAUGAGAGGACGAAGAAGAAGAACGAAUGCUUAGACAUUUUGAUUUUUGGUUGCACAAAUUUAAAGCAAAUUUGGAGAAAAGACGGAUUUUAUAAACCCAGGAUUUGGGGAAGACGAAGGAUUUUAUAAACACUAAGUUUUAGAGAGGAAUGCCUCAAAGCAAAUUUAAGAAAGAAGGCUUUUAUGAAGCAUUUUAACUACUAGUUUAUGAUGAAAGCUACACCAAAUGCCAUAUCAUCUUUUACUAAUGUUCUUUACACCUAUUUGACGGAAAGGACCGAUGUUAGUUAACAAAGUAAAGUUAAAUGACUAAAGUGACACUUUUAAAAGUUAAAGGACCAAUUUGAACCUAAACAAUAAGGGAUCAAAAAGUAAUUAAGUCAAAAACUAACUUAGCAUCACUUCUAUAUUUGAUGUAUUGAUAUGUUUAUUUCAAUCAUGAAAUGAUAAUAAUGUUCCGAGGUUUAUUGUGGACCUUCAGAGAACCAAGGCGUGCAAUAUAAAUUGAAUCAAAUGCCUUCAUGUUUCAGGCCAGAUCUAUUGGCUUCAACCUUUUUAGUUUUUGCUGUUAACUACACAGUUUUGGCAUCAUUUGGUGCCUGAUUUGAUUAAAUAUGAUGCUGCAUAGUUGGAGUGAUUGUCAUAAAAAAAAAAUCAUUUAUUUAUAUUUCUCUCUUUUUUUCCUGAUCAUCCCUUGGUUGUAGCCGUCGAUGAGAAACCACUUGUGGUUUGUGGUUUUCAUUUCACGUAAAUGUUGCAGAAAAUGGUUAGGUUUUAUAUUUGGGGAAAGAAAAAUUGGUAAAUUGGUAUUUUUAAUAGCAGUAAUUUUUCGCCUCCAUCAUCUUCUGCAUGUAUUGACCGACAAUGUGCUUGGCAAUGCGGUCAGCUACCUCGACACGUUUUAUCAACUAUCCACAGUGCAGCUUUUCCUGCAACACACGGUAGCAAUGUAAUUCUGAUCAAAUCCAAACACACUAAUACUUUUCCUCAUUAAAACUAUUUAGCUCUUGGGGGAAGAUGAAUAAUGCAACCAAACUUUCUUUGGUUAUUAAAUUUUCAUACAGAGGUUGCAAGUGGUUUCUAUCAUAUGUCCUGAAAAGGAAUUAAUUUCACAAAACCUGUUUAUGAAGGAAGACUUGUGCCACAAGUUAAUAAUUUCACAAAACCUGACUGCUCAAUGGAAACACCUAUAUUAAACUUGUUGCAAUCUAUUAGCCAACACUUUGGCAAGAAUUUUGUACUGAUCGUAUGAAAUAGAUUGGGCUGCUUCCUCGUUUGAGGCUACGGAGCGAGCAGCAUUCUUUUGAGUUUUCAUUUCCAGGUAAGGACGAGAGCCGAAAGAAAAGAAUCCCCGGGUUACUCUUAUAUGAGAGUCAUCGGUUGGUCCUGCACCAAGCCUUGAAUGCUGAAUUGGUUCUCCUUUUCUACGGAUUCGGUGAGGUAUGUCACAGGUCCAUGAAGGCCAUUGGAAGCCUCUAAAGCUGUCUAGAGGAGGUCUUGCAAUUUCAUUGAACAUUUAUUCUUUGCGGAUUCUUUCAUCUUUGUCGCCCUGGAGUGAUAAUUAUCCUUUUUAGAUUAGAGAAGUGACUUUCGGGAUGUUUGCUCGUUAAUUGCUCUUCCGGUAACUGGUAGUCAGCACCUUCGGUCCGGGUUACAUAAAGAAAUGGGCCUAAGGUCCUUCAUAGAAUUAGAAGAAUCACACUUCGGAAUGAGAACUAGAUUAUCAUAUCUGUAAUACACAUCAAUUUUUCCAGCAAAUUAGACAGUUAUUUUAUUCCCUUAAGAACUAUAAGAUCUAACAUAAGUAUAUAUCCCCUGGGAACUAGGAAUAACACCUUGCAGUCACCUCCUAUACGCCUGGAUUUCUGGAUGAUAUCAUAACCGCAUAAUUAAUUGCUAAGAACUUGCUUACUUUUUCUUUAUUUGAUUCCUAGCAUCCGCAUGCUGGUGUUUUUAUUCUUAAAAUCAUUUGUUUUUCUACUUCCUCGGAUGUCUCUCACCAAUGCCCUAACUGAAAUGCUUAAUGUGCCAUUCUUGGAGUCUUAUGUUUGUCAUAUGUUUGUAAUGCUAUUUAUUGCUUGCAGUUGACUUGUUGCAGAUAUGACCGUUAAGUAAAUAUUUUACAGAAAAAUGAUUUCCAUGUUUAUAAAGCUACUAAUGUCUGGCAUCCAUUGACGUAAAAUUUACUGCCUAUGAACCCUACUUAUUCAGAACAUAGAAAGCUGACUAAAUGUUGUCCUAUCAAAAGCGUGAAUAAGAAGACAAAAAGCUAUGAAGAAUUGGUUUUGCAUAACUGAAUAGAAAAACUCCUGGGCACAAGUAAUGCUAUAAUGUUAUUUGGUAGCCAACUAUUGGAAGGUAGCAGUUUAUUGCCCCCAAAAACAUUGGUGAUAUAAAUUGUUAUAGUUGUUACCCUUGGUUGUUUGGUAGAUUUUAGGGAAAUUUUCAUCUGAAUAAAAGCUUUGGAUGCUUUGGUUCUAUAUCCUGACCAUGUAGCUAUUUUGAAUUUUUUUUGUGACAAAAAUAUAGCCAUUUUGAAUUAGUGAUGAGAUAUAUGUAGCUUAGUGCAAUUUCCGUGAAAAUUUUCUGUUUUUGUUCUUGUAUCUACUACUCACUUAGGUACGAUGCCAGCAUUUCUGUUUGCGACCCAGAUGUGAUAUUUGACUGAUGGUGAUGGCAUUGGGGAGAUAUAUUUUUUCACUUAAGUUUUAUUCAUUUAUUGUGGUUUAUAGAGGGUAUUGAGAAAAACAAAAGUAUCACGGUGACUAGAGAUAAUGUUUAAAUACAGCUUAUAAGUGUAAUAGUCUUCACUUUACAAACUGAGUUUGAAGAGUUAAGCUUAAAAUUUAAAUUGAUAUCAAAAUCUAUCUUAGAUCUAUUAAUGGGCUAUCCUCAAUAUUCAGGCAUCAAGUCAAUAGUGUUGGGAUGAGGGAUUGUAAUGAAAAAUUCUCAACUGCUCCAAUGAAUAUUAAAUAAAGUUUACAAAGCAAUCUGCACCUUACAAAUUAGUUUUUUGGAAAUGAGUUAAAGUAUUUAACAGAGAGACAUAAUAUAAUUUCUUUGUUUCUGGUGAAAAGCUUGCCAGCUACUUUUAAUUUUAGUAGAUGACAGUUGGUGGGAAAUAUAUGAACCUAUUUCUUGUUAAUUGUCACCCUACGUGCUGAUGCUAUCCUCUUUUUUAUUUGUAUAUUGUAUGUGAAUAUUCUUGUUUAUGUCUGGUUUUGUAAUUCGCAACAAAAGAGCCUAUUUAUCCAUCAAUUGAUUGUGAAGCAUAUUGGAAUACCAGCAACUUUGUACGGCGGUGGGCUCAUUUUCAAUAUGAAUUUCAAGUUCAUCUUUUUGGUUUGACUAACAGGAGGAGUAUGUUGAAAAUACAAGUUGCAGUUGGUUUUGAAGUUGUCAAAACGCCAAACAUCUUUGGAUUCCAACGCUUGACAUGCACAGAUCUUCAUAUAUAAAGUCGAUGGGAGUAAUAAAUAUAUCUGCGCUGAUAAGUCAAAACAUUGGGACAUAGCUUUCCUGUUGUUGAACUUAUGGCUCGAGAAUUGAGACAUGAGACCCGAUCAUCUCAUUCACUAAAAACGUUCCAUUUUUUUCUUCCUAUAAUUCAAAUUUAGGGUUAGAUGAUAAUGUUGUAAUUCAAUGUACGAAUUUUUUUUAGAGUUUAUCAAAUACUUAUUAAAUGAUUUAUUUGUAUCUUUUUUCGAUAAUAUAAUCAGGAUUUGAACCUGCAGUUAGUAUCUAA